Molecule: ribosomal RNA, 336 nt
Filed under: Triticum aestivum (bread wheat)
Lineage: Eukaryota; Viridiplantae; Streptophyta; Magnoliopsida; Poales; Poaceae
Description: partial small subunit ribosomal RNA
Source: RNAcentral
AUGCUGCCUAUAGAUGUGCCUCGUUCUGCUAAUCAGUUCGAGAACUGGAGCUUCACGUACAAGGAACUCAAGGUCAUUACCAAUAACUUCAACACUGUAAUCGGAAGGGGUGGAUUUGGCCCUGUGUAUUUUGGCUAUUUGGAGAAUGGAACUCCUGUUGCAGUGAAGAUGCUGUCAAAGACAUCUUCACAAGGUUAUGCAGAAUUUUUAGCUGAGGCGAGGGUCCAUCACAAGAACUUGGUGUCCUUAAUUGGUUUUUGCAGGGAUAGAAAACAUCUAAGCCUUGUCUAUGAGUACAUGGAUGGAGGAAACCUGCAGGACCGGCUCAGACGUUAG